This 2085-nucleotide long non-coding RNA is filed under the name Homo sapiens (human). RNAcentral describes it as "HSALNT0079959". Lineage: Eukaryota; Metazoa; Chordata; Mammalia; Primates; Hominidae. The record is from RNAcentral.
CUUUUCUACAGGUUACAAGGCAGUUCUAAAGAGAGAUGGACUCUGUGUGUUUUAUCAACACGACAUCAUCCUAGUACAAUACAAUGGGUAAGAAAGUUCACAUUUACAAUGGUAGUCUAAGGACCAAAUGUAACCAAAAGGGACUUAUCAGAAGGAGGAACAAUUUUUACUGGGAAGAUAAUGAAUUCAGUUUUAAAGCCUGUCCAGGUUGAGUCCCUGUGGAGAUUUCUAGAUGCAGUUGAGACUAAGGACAAACUAUGUAAUCUCUUUUUACCUCCAUUUAUUUAAGGUACAAUAGAGAUAAUGAUAAUAUUGAUUGCAUUUCAUUUCUGUGUUAAAAGCAUUAAUAUAUGUAAAAUCUAAAAUAGUGGCUGGCAUCUUAUAGCUUUUCAAUUACUAUUAGUCAUUAUUAUUAAUAAUAUUAAUUAUAUUAACAAUAAGUUACUGAACAGUUGAAUAUACAAGUCUGGAACUGAGGAAAAUGGCCAGGGCUGUGCACAUACAUUUGAGAAAACUCAGCAUGAAGAUGAUAAUAAAAUCCAUAGGAAAAAAUGGUUUUCCUACGAGAUAGAGAGUGCAAUUUGAAAAGAGUUGAGCUAGGAUGAAAAAUAUCUCCCAGGAAUAUCUAUGUUCACAUUAUAAGCAGUGAAAGUUGAUUCAGUGAGGGCGGCUAAGGAGAAAUUGCAACAAUAUGGCCAUUUUGAAAGGAAGUCAUUAGAAAGAUUCCUAAAGAAAAUUAACUUCAUUUAGUUAGACGAUAUUUUCCAGUAAUCUGGCCAUAAAAUAAAUUUUUUUUUAAAAAAAAGCAGCCCUACAUAAAAAUAAUGUGGUAUAAAAAAUUACUGUGAAAGAGACAAUUUAUGUUUAAUUUCACCUUAUUUUCUUAGCAAUUCUACUCCAGCACCAAACUCAGCAAAGCAAAAGCUCUGCAGUUAACAUGAUACGCUCUCUCUACGUGGCAGGUUAGCAGUUCUCCAUUAUUACUGGAGCACAUUUGUCAGGGAUCUCACUCUAGCCCAGAUGACUUAUUAGAGCAGUCUUCCAACUACACCUACUAUUAUCCCAUGGGGACUUCACUAAAUACCCUUUUCUCCACUUCAUUAUACAUUCGGUGAUGUUUUCCAGUGAUGUAUGAGUGCUUGUUACACAUCUACUCCCUGGGCACCUGUCUGCUGUUUGGUGUGUCAACACUUUUUUUUAUUUUUAGAACAUUUUUUUAUCUGAUAGCAUUUAUAUUGUGACCCAUCUCUUUUCAUGUGAAGGUUACAAGUGCUAACUCUGCUACCCUCAAACCCAGGUACAAAACCUUGUUCUUCGUUCUACUAGCUAUGUGAUUUUGAGCAAAUUAUCUAACCUCUCUAUGCCUUUGUGCCUCCAAUUCCUUAUUUGUAAAAUGAAGAUUACAACAAUAGUGUGUUCUUCAUAAUGUGAUGCCUGACAUAUUAUGUGCAUUGUAAUUAUAUGUUAUUAUUAUCAUUCCCAAAACCUGUCAGGUACUUGACGAUGAAUAAGACAUAUGUAUUCUCUGCUGCAGGAAGCUUGCACUAUAAUAAAGGAAUUUGAUGUUUAAGCAAACCACUAGAGUAUAGCAUCAUUGCUCCUUUAGAGACGUUUCAACCAGGUACAGCAUUUGAACAAUGAAAAAUAUUUAAUCAGCUUUGCUUAGGGCAGAGUGAGUAUGGGAGAUACAGGUAAGGUGUCACAAGAAAACAAAACAUUAACAUGCUGCUUGAGAGAUUACUAGACUUUUGCUCAAUCAUAUAUGGGAAAGAUUUUUAUAGGGUUUAACAAUAAGGAAGAGGAAAAUAAAAGAUCAAACAACCAUUGUCAUGUCAAUACCUAUAAGUGAAAGCUGGCCAGAUGGAUAAGACAAAAUUAUAGGAAAAAUAAGUGUGAAACAGAGGAAGUAAAAAUAGUAAAUGCAUGCAUGUUUUCCUAACAUAAAAUAAGUGUGACGCUUGUGAAAAUAUUUUCUGGUUUUGCUAUUGUAUUGGGAAAGAUGAUAUGACAAUAGGAAUAAUGUGGUGACGUGUGAAUAAUGACUAAAAACCUAAGAAUCAAACAUGAAAGUGCUUUGAAAUUUAC